Molecule: ribosomal RNA, 108 nt
Filed under: Transversotrema tragorum
Lineage: Eukaryota; Metazoa; Platyhelminthes; Trematoda; Azygiida; Transversotrematidae
Description: partial 5.8S ribosomal RNA
Rfam family: 5.8S ribosomal RNA
About the family: 5.8S ribosomal RNA (5.8S rRNA) is a component of the large subunit of the eukaryotic ribosome. It is transcribed by RNA polymerase I as part of the 45S precursor that also contains 18S and 28S rRNA. Functionally, it is thought that 5.8S rRNA may be involved in ribosome translocation.
Source: RNAcentral
CAAACGUACAACUCUAUGCGGUGGAUCACUCGGCUCGUGUGUCGAUGAAGAGCGCAGCAAACUGUGUGAAUUAUGUGAACUGCAUCCUGCCAUGAACAUCGAGACUUC